This 2895-nucleotide ribosomal RNA is filed under the name human gut metagenome. RNAcentral's name for it is "bacterial LSU rRNA". It matches the Rfam family "Bacterial large subunit ribosomal RNA". The record is from RNAcentral.
AUAAAAUAGAAAGAGCGUACGGUGGAUGCCUUGGCAUUAAGAGAUGAUGAAGGACGUAACUAACAGCGAUAUGCCUCGGGGAGUCGUAAGUAGACAACGAUCCGGGGAUUUCCGAAUAGGGCAACCUAGUUACCGUAAUAGGUAAUUGCAUCUUAGAUCAAUAAAUACUCUUUGAUGGAGCAACCCAGGGAAUUGAAACAUCUUAGUACCUGGAGGAAAAGAAAAUAAAUUAAUGAUUCCCUUAGUAGUGGCGAGCGAACGGGGAAAAGCCCAAACCACCUUUGAGGUGGGGUUGUAGGACCAUAAUGUGGUAUACAUUUGGAUAGUUGAAGAAGUUGGAAAGCUUCUCCCUAGAUGGUGAUAGGCCAGUAAACGAAAUCCAAAUGUAACCUAUUGGUAUCCUGAGUACAACGAGGCACGUGAAACCUUGUUGGAAUCCACCGGGACCAUCCGGUAAGGCUAAAUACUCCUUAAUGACCGAUAGUGAACUAGUACCAUGAGGGAAAGGUGAAAAGAACCGCUGGCGCGGAGUGAAAUAGAACCUGAAACCGUAUGCUUACAAGAAGUCAGAGCACAUUUAAGUGUGAUGGCGUGCCUUUUGUAGAAUGAACCUGCGAGUUAUGUUAUCGUGCGAGGUUAAAUCGAAAAGAUGGAGCCGUAGCGAAAGCGAGUCUUAAUAGGGCGAAUUAGUACGAUGACAUAGACCCGAAGCCGUUGUGAUCUAUCCAUGAUCAGGUUGAAGGUUGGGUGAUACCAACUGGAGGACCGAACCGACCCCCGUUGAAAUGUUGGCGGAUGAAUUGUGGAUAGCGGAGAAAUUCCAAACGAACGCGGCGAUAGCUGGUUCUCCCCGAAAUAGCUUUAGGGCUAGCGUCGGACGUAUCUGUGUGCAGGUAGAGCACUGAAAUCAUGAUGGCCUCAUCCCGAGGUACUGAUUGGUAUCAAACUCCGAAUGGCAUACAGUUUUAUCCGGCAGUCAGACUACGAGUGAUAAGGUCCGUGGUCAAAAGGGAAACAGCCCAGAUCAUCAGUUAAGGUCCCAAAAUUAAUGCUAAGUGGAAAACGAGGUGGAAUUGCGUGAACAGCUAGGAGGUUGGCUCAGAAGCAGCCAUCCUUCAAAGAGUGCGUAACAGCUCACUAGUCGAGUGAUUCUGCGCGGAAAAUUUACCGGGGCUAAGCAUUAUACCGAAACUAUGGCAAUACAUGUAUUGGGUAGGGGAGCGUUCUAUUCAGCGUUGAAGGUAUACCGUAAGGAGUGCUGGAGCGUAUAGAAGUGAGAAUGCAGGCGUGAGUAGCGAGAAAUAUGUGAGAAUCAUAUUCACCGAUAGACUAAGGUUUCCAGGGGAAGGUUCGUCCGCCCUGGGUAAGUCGGGACCUAAGACGAGGCCGAAAGGCGUAGCCGAUGGACAACUGGUUGAUAUUCCAGUACCUGCUUAGUUAGUGAUGGAGUGACAGAUGUGGUUAGUAUAUCCCCAUUAUUGGAUUUGGGGUUAAGCGAAGUAGUUGUAGUAUUGGCAAAUCCGUACUAUAAAACAAAUGCGUGAUAAGGAGUGAACGAGCGAUCAAGUAGCGAAGUUAUAUAUACCAUGUCUCAAGAAAAGCUUCUAAACUUAUAACUAAGUAGCCCGUACCUAAACCGACACAGGUGGUCAAGGCGAGUAGCCUAAGGUGAGCGAGAGAACUGUUGCCAAGGAACUCGGCAAAAUUGUCCCGUAACUUCGGAAGAAGGGACGCUCGAAAGAGCCGCAGCGAAGAGGCCCACGCAACUGUUUAUCUAAAACAUAGCUCUCUGCUAAGUCGAAAGACGAUGUAUAGGGGGUGACGCCUGCCCGGUGCUGGAAGGUUAAGGGGAUUUGUUAGACGUAAGUCGAAGCUUUGAACCGAAGCCCCAGUGAACGGCGGCCGUAACUAUAACGGUCCUAAGGUAGCGAAAUUCCUUGUCAGGUAAGUUCUGACCCGCACGAAAGGCGUAAUGAUGUGGGCGCUGUCUCGGCAGCAGACUCGGUGAAAUCUUAGUACCUGUGAAGAUGCAGGUUACCCGCAACUAGACGGAAAGACCCCAUGGAGCUUUACUAUAACUUAAUAUUGAGUUUUGAUUUAGUAUGUACAGGAUAGGUAGGAGACUUUGAAGUGAGAACGCUAGUUUUCAUGGAGUCGAUGUUGGGAUACUACUCUUAUUAACUCGAAAUUCUAACCUGCAGGUUACAUCAACCUGGGGAACAGUGUUAGGUGGGUAGUUUGACUGGGGCGGUCGCCUCCCAAAAUGUAACGGAGGCGCUCAAAGGUACUCUCAGGUUGGUUGGAAAUCAACUGUCGAGCGUAAUUGCAGAAGAGUGCUUGACUGCAAGACUUACAAGUCGAGCAGGGACGAAAGUCGGAAAUAGUGAUCCUGCGGUUCAGUAUGGAAUGGCCGUGGCUUAACGGAUAAAAGCUACCCUGGGGAUAACAGGCUGAUCUCCCCCAAGAGUUCACAUCGACGGGGAGGUUUGGCACCUCGAUGUCGGCUCAUCGCAUCCUGGAGCUGAAUUCGGUUCCAAGGGUUGGGCUGUCCGCCCAUUAAAGCGGUACGCGAGCUGGGUUCAAAACGUCGUGAGACAGUUUGGUCCCUAUCUGUUGUGGGCGUUGGAAUUUUGAGGAGCGCUGUCCCUAGUACGAGAGGACCAGGAUGGACGUACCUAUGGUGCACCAAUUGUUUCGCCAGAAGCAUAGUUGGAUAGCUAAGUACGGAUCGGAUAAACGCUGAAGGCAUCUAAGCGUGAAACCGACUCCAAGAUGAGAAUUCCCAUUCACUUGAUGAAGUAAGACCCCUUAUAGACUAUGAGGUUGAUAGGUUAAAGAUGGAAGUGUAGCAAUACAUUGAGUUGAUUAAUACUAAUAGGUCGAGGAUUUUAUCAU